Long non-coding RNA from Ixodes scapularis (black-legged tick), 164 nucleotides. RefSeq lists it as uncharacterized. Lineage: Eukaryota; Metazoa; Arthropoda; Arachnida; Ixodida; Ixodidae. The transcript has 3 exons. The record is from RefSeq and is a predicted model, not a curated record.
AUCGUUUUUAUUGAAGGUUUUCUGCACGUAAAGCGCAAGAUGGAGCGUGGACAAGUUUUUUGUUGUUUUAAUCGUCCAAGGCAUGGAGUUUUACUGAAGGUUUCCUCAGACGAGAGCGUAAGCUGGGGUCCGGACAAGCUGUUAUUCUUUUUUUUUAAACGGCC